Long non-coding RNA from Micropterus salmoides (largemouth bass), 896 nucleotides. RefSeq lists it as uncharacterized. Lineage: Eukaryota; Metazoa; Chordata; Actinopteri; Centrarchiformes; Centrarchidae. The record is from RefSeq and is a predicted model, not a curated record. The transcript is spliced from 2 exons.
CCAGUCAACCCCUGCUUGAUCGUCGUUGCUCCAAACCCGGUUCCACUUCACCACUCAAGCACUUGCGUAUUCUGCGUCGUCACUGUUUCCUUGUACUUUGUUUUCCCUGCGUCUAACCCUGUCUGUCUGUCUCCCCUCCAGGUUCACUCGCCUCCAUCCUCCAUUCCGUCAGCUUUAUACCAACGAUGGAUCAAAAUGUAAUGUGAAAGGAGUCACUCAUAGUAACAAACCCACAGAAUUACCACCCGACUGCAGUGUUUAAACCAUGUCUGAACAAACCCGUUUAAAAAGGCAUUUUAAUCUAAAACCAGUUAAAAGUGGCUAGUCCUGGAAUUUUACAAAGGGUUAAAAUCUAGGAACUGGGGUCUGUGUCUAACAUAGUACUUGCAAAGGAUUGAUAAAUUUAUUCAAGUAAAUUAAAAUUGUUAAUAUUACAUGUUUUACUAUGAAUCUAUUUACUAUUAAAAUUAUAGUGUGCUAUUUAUUUAUAUAUUUGUAACAGGAUACUAUAACAUGAAACAGAUGUGUUGCAUGAAGGGUUUCUAGCCAAGGCUAAUUUGGGAUCCCUGUCCCCAGUUGGUAGGGCAUUCCAAAAAUGUAUCCCUUUUACCGAGAAAGAUGACUGACCGAAAGUGGUUUUGCGCUGUGCGACCCUGCAGUUGCCACAAAGUACAGCCGGGGCGCGAUGGUUCACACAUUUAAAAAUCAACUUCAUAAAAGAAACUGUCAAAACUGAGCAACUCAGAAUUAUACAGUUGUGCCAUUUCAUUUGUUUUUGAUCCAUUAUUUUCAGUGAUUGUUUGUGUAGUGAUGUAAUGAGUUUGACUAAAAAUAUAUCCCUUCUACUUGAAUGAGACUUGUAAAAAAGUGCCUUAGCUCCACUGUUUGGAAUGCAU